AUGAAAAACCACAGCAGGCCUGCAAGAAAGGGAAGUAGUCGGGGGAGCCUCCCAUUUCCUCCUGAGCCAGUGUAGUUCACUUAUGCACUGACAUGCCAAGUCCCUCUCUGGGGCCGCCUACCUGGAACAGUCACAGAACUUGCUGGGAAAGCCUGAGGCAGACAGGAAGCAAGGGCUGGUAGGAGGCUCCCACUACUGCCCAGAAGGAAGAACUAAAGUAACUUGUUCUUCUGGAUUCUUGCCCUCCUCACCCUGCACUGCCGCACCAGAGACAGCCUGACAGCAAGCACACGAGGACUAUUCAUCCAUCACGGGACAGAGCCGCCUCCUGCCUCUGAACCUUAUAGGAAAGGACUUCUGCUAUGCCUCACAGGCCUGAACUCCCCUCAGAACUCCCAACAGGCUGUCUGGCUAUGUGUUAAUACCUUUCCUAAUAAACCUAUUGCUCAGUG
This is a long non-coding RNA of Peromyscus eremicus (cactus mouse), 452 nucleotides long. RefSeq lists it as uncharacterized. The record is from RefSeq and is a predicted model, not a curated record. NCBI's taxonomy places the organism in Eukaryota, Metazoa, Chordata, Mammalia, Rodentia, Cricetidae. The transcript has 2 exons.